GGCGGCAGGCCUAACACAUGCAAGUCGAACGGUAACAGGAAUCAGCUUGCUGAUUCGCUGACGAGUGGCGGACGGGUGAGUAAUGUCUGGGAAACUGCCUGAUGGAGGGGGAUAACUACUGGAAACGGUAGCUAAUACCGCAUAACGUCGCAAGACCAAAGAGGGGGACCUUCGGGCCUCUUGCCAUCGGAUGUGCCCAGAUGGGAUUAGCUAGUAGGUGGGGUAAAGGCUCACCUAGGCGACGAUCCCUAGCUGGUCUGAGAGGAUGACCAGCCACACUGGAACUGAGACACGGUCCAGACUCCUACGGGAGGCAGCAGUGGGGAAUAUUGCACAAUGGGCGCAAGCCUGAUGCAGCCAUGCCGCGUGUAUGAAGAAGGCCUUCGGGUUGUAAAGUACUUUCAGCGGGGAGGAAGGGAGUAAAGUUAAUACCUUUGCUCAUUGACGUUACCCGCAGAAGAAGCACCGGCUAACUCCGUGCCAGCAGCCGCGGUAAUACGGAGGGUGCAAGCGUUAAUCGGAAUUACUGGGCGUAAAGCGCACGCAGGCGGUUUGUUAAGUCAGAUGUGAAAUCCCCGGGCUCAACCUGGGAACUGCAUCUGAUACUGGCAAGCUUGAGUCUCGUAGAGGGGGGUAGAAUUCCAGGUGUAGCGGUGAAAUGCGUAGAGAUCUGGAGGAAUACCGGUGGCGAAGGCGGCCCCCUGGACGAAGACUGACGCUCAGGUGCGAAAGCGUGGGGAGCAAACAGGAUUAGAUACCCCUGGUAGUCCACGCCGUAAACGAUGUCGACUUGGAGGUUGUGCCCUUGAGGCGUGGCUUCCGGAGCUAACGCGUUAAGUCGACCGCCUGGGGAGUACGGCCGCAAGGUUAGAACUCAAAUGAAUUGACGGGGGCCCGCACAAGCGGUGGAGCAUGUGGUUUAAUUCGAUGCAACGCGAAGAACCUUACCUGGUCUUGACAUCCACGGAAGUUUUCAGAGAUGAGAAUGUGCCUUCGGGAACCGUGAGACAGGUGCUGCAUGGCUGUCGUCAGCUCGUGUUGUGAAAUGUUGGGUUAAGUCCCGCAACGAGCGCAACCCUUAUCCUUUGUUGCCAGCGGUCCGGCCGGGAACUCAAAGGAGACUGCCAGUGAUAAACUGGAGGAAGGUGGGGGUGACGUCAAGUCAUCAUGGCCCUUACGACCAGGGCUACACACGUGCUACAAUGGCGCAUACAAAGAGAAGCGACCUCGCGAGAGCAAGCGGACCUCAUAAAGUGCGUCGUAGUCCGGAUUGGAGUCUGCAACUCGACUCCAUGAAGUCGGAAUCGCUAGUAAUCGUGGAUCAGAAUGCCACGGUGAAUACGUUCCCGGGCCUUGUACACACCGCCCGUCACACCAUGGGAGUGGGUUGCAAAAGAAGUAGGUAGCUUAACCUUCGGGAGGGCGCUUACCACUUUGUGAUUCAUGACUGGGGUGAAGUCAUA
RNAcentral lists this ribosomal RNA (1463 nucleotides) under uncultured organism. RNAcentral describes it as "SSU rRNA". It matches the Rfam family "Bacterial small subunit ribosomal RNA". The record is from RNAcentral.